AUUGAGCGCUGGCGGCAGGCUUAACACAUGCAAGUCGAGCGGUAGCACAGGGGAGCUUGCUCCCUGGGUGACGAGCGGCGGACGGGUGAGUAAUGUCUGGGAAACUGCCUGAUGGAGGGGGAUAACUACUGGAAACGGUAGCUAAUACCGCAUAACGUCGCAAGACCAAAGAGGGGGACCUUCGGGCCUCUUGCCAUCAGAUGUGCCCAGAUGGGAUUAGCUAGUAGGUGGGGUAAUGGCUCACCUAGGCGACGAUCCCUAGCUGGUCUGAGAGGAUGACCAGCCACACUGGAACUGAGACACGGUCCAGACUCCUACGGGAGGCAGCAGUGGGGAAUAUUGCACAAUGGGCGCAAGCCUGAUGCAGCCAUGCCGCGUGUGUGAAGAAGGCCUUCGGGUUGUAAAGCACUUUCAGCGAGGAGGAAGGUGGUGAGCUUAAUACGUUCAUCAAUUGACGUUACUCGCAGAAGAAGCACCGGCUAACUCCGU
Molecule: ribosomal RNA, 489 nt
Filed under: uncultured bacterium
Lineage: Bacteria
Description: partial 16S ribosomal RNA
Rfam family: Bacterial small subunit ribosomal RNA
Source: RNAcentral